GAUGAAGAACGUAGUGAAAUGCGAUAACUAAUGUGAAUUGCAGAAUUCCGUAAAUCAUCGAGUCUUUGAACGCACAUUGCGCCCCCUGGUAUUCCGGGGGGCAUGCCUGUCCGAGCGUCAUUGCUGCCCAUCAAGCACGGCUUGUGUGUUGGGUCCUCGUCCCCCCCGGGGGACGUGCCCGAAAGGCAGCGGCGGCACCGCGUCCGGUCCUCGAGCGUAUGGGGCUUUGUCACCCGCUCUGCAGGCCCGGCCGGCGCUGGCCGACGCGAAAGCAACCAUUUUUUCUCCAGGUUGACCUCGGAUCAGGUAGGGAUACCCGCUGAACUUAAGCAUAUCAAUAAGCGGAGGA
RNAcentral lists this unclassified non-coding RNA (349 nucleotides) under soil metagenome. RNAcentral describes it as "partial contains 5.8S ribosomal RNA, internal transcribed spacer 2, and large subunit ribosomal RNA". The stretch from base 1 to 120 matches the Rfam family "5.8S ribosomal RNA", at positions 35 to 154 of the family's 154-position model. The record is from RNAcentral.